Molecule: ribosomal RNA, 465 nt
Filed under: uncultured bacterium
Lineage: Bacteria
Description: bacterial SSU rRNA
Rfam family: Bacterial small subunit ribosomal RNA
Source: RNAcentral
CUACGGGAGGCAGCAGUGGGGAAUAUUGGACAAUGGGGGCAACCCUGAUCCAGCAAUGCCGCGUGUGUGAAGAAGGCCUGAGGGUUGUAAAGCACUUUCAGUGGGGAGGAGGCUUGCCAGGUUAAGAGCUAGGUAAGUGGACGUUACCCACAGAAGAAGCACCGGCUAACUCCGUGCCAGCAGCCGCGGUAAUACGGAGGGUGCAAGCGUUAAUCGGAAUUACUGGGCGUAAAGGGUUCGUAGGUGGUUUGAUAAGUUAUCUGUAAAAGCCCUGGGCUCAACCUAGGAAUGUCAGGUAAUACUGUUAGACUCGAGUAUGGGAGAGGGUAGUGGAAUUUCCGGUGUAGCGGUGAAAUGCGUAGAGAUCGGAAGGAACACCAGUGGCGAAGGCGGCUACCUGGCCUAAUACUGACACUGAGGAACGAAAGCGUGGGGAGCAAACAGGAUUAGAUACCCUAGUAGUCC